UUUAAUAGAUACACACAAGAGAAUUCAACGUCAUAAAUUCGUCAUAAAGAGGCGACGUUAAGUUUGUUUACCGCCAGUUCAACAUGGAGGAUUCCUCCUUAACAGCCGCUCUGCUCUGCUCCGUGGUCAGCCUGACCGGGCCCCCGGUGUCCCCGGUGCCCCCGGUGUCCGGUACCGGGAUGUCGGAGCUGUGGCGGCUGCAGGCGGCCGUGUUGAGGCGGGGCAGGGCCCGGGAGAUGCUGCAGCGGGACCGGAGGAGGAGGCAGUAUCUCCGGAGGAGGAGGGCGUUCCUGCUGUCCUCCGUCACCGCCAUCCUCAGCCUCAUCUCGGCCAGCAGCAGCAGACACGUCUGGGUCCGGAACCGGACCCCCGGCCACAACUUCUGGGCCCAGGCCCAGACCUUCGACCAGGACGAGUGGAAGGCCCAGUUCCGCGUGUCCCGGCUGACCUUUGACUACCUGCUGGAUCGGAUCGGCCCGGCUAUCAAACGCCGGCGGACCAACUACCGCGCCCCGAUCGAGCCGCGGCGCCGCCUGGCCAUCACGCUGUGGUGGCUGGCCCGGUCCGGGGAGUACCGCUCCAUCGCCGGCCUGUUCGGAGUGGGCAUCGCCACGGUGUGUGUCAUCGUCAGGCAGGUGACCUCGGCCAUCGUGGAGCGGCUGUACCGCCGCGUGGUGUCUCUGCCGAGCGGCCGGCGGCUGGACGCCACCAUGGCGGCCUUCAGGGACCGCUGCUACCCGCAGUGCGCCGGUGCCAUCGGCAGCACUCACAUCCCCAUCGCCCCCCCCAGAGACAACCCGGACCACUACGUCAACCGGCGGGGCUGGCACUCAGUGGUGCUGCAGGCCGUGGUCGACCACAACAUCUGUUUCACGGACGUGUACGCUGGCUGGCCCGGCGGGACCAGCAGCGCCGCGGUGCUGUCCAGCUCAGACCUGUACCUGAAGGCAGAGGACCGGCCGGACGGUUACCUGUUCCCUCGACAGAAAUCCAUCGUGUGUGACGGCGUGGAGAUCCCCGUGCACCUGAUCGGCGACGCGUCCUUCCCUCUGAAGCCGUGGCUGAUGAAGAGCUACCGCCCGGAGCAGCAGCUGUCCGCCGAGCGCCGUCGUUUCUCCUCCAGCCUGGCGUCGGCCCGCUCCGUGGUCCACGCCGCCUUCACGCGUCUCCGAGGACGCUGGCGCUGCCUGCUGAAGAAGAGCGACAUCGACGUCUCCGCGAUGCCGCGCGUGGUGGCGGCAUGCUGCGUGCUGCACAACAUCUGCGAGAGCCGCGGAGACGCCUUCCUCCCCGAGUGGAACGCCGAAAUCUGUCCUCCGGCAAACGGCGUGAGACAGCCGGACGCCGAAACGUACGCCGAAGACACAUACUGCACCGCCGAGGUCAUCAGAGACACGGUCGCUUACAACAUGCUGACUAUACUGCAGUACUAAUACUCAACAUGCUGACUAUACUGCAGUACUGAUACUAUACUGCAGUACUGAGACUAUACUGCAGUACUGAUACUAUACUGCAGUACUGAGUACAUGCUGACUAUACUGCAGUACUAAUACUCAGCAUGCUGACUAUACUGCAGUACUGAUACUAUACUGCAGUACUGAGUACAUGCUGACUAUACUGCAGUACUAAUACUCAACAUGCUGACUAUACUGCAGUACUGAUACUAUACUGCAGUACUGAGUACAUGCUGACUAUACUGCAGUACUAAUACUCAGCAUGCUGACUAUACUGCAGUACUGAUACUAUACUGCAGUACUGAGUACAUGCUGACUAUACUGCAGUACUAAUACUCAACAUGCUGACUAUACUGCAGUACUGAUACUAUACUGCAGUACUGAUACACAACAUGCUGACUAUACUGCAGUACUAAUACUCAACAUGCUGACUAUACUGCAGUACUGAUACUAUACUGCAGUACUGAGUACAUGCUGACUAUACUGCAGUACUAAUACUCAACAUGCUGACUAUACUGCAGUACUGAUACUAUACUGCAGUACUGAUACACAACAUGCUGACUAUACUGCAGUACUAAUACUCAACAUGCUGACUAUACUGCAGUACUGAUACUAUACUGCAGUACUGAUACUCAACAUGCUGACUAUACUGCAGUACUGAGUACAUGCUGACUAUACUGCAGUACUGAGUCUAACAGACUUUAUUAAUUCCUGCGGGAUUUUAAUGUUUUUAUUGACAAAAGAGGAAAAGGACAGACAGCCUUCUAACUGUCCCAACAGCAGGCUGAAUAACUUUAUUAACAUGCUGAUUAAUAACAGGACAGAGAGCCCUGAGUGAAGACUGAGAGAAUAACUUUAUUAACAUGCUGAUUAAUAACAGGACAGAGAGCCCUGAGUGAAGACUGAGAGAAUAACUUUAUUAACAUGCUGAUUAAUAACAGGACAGAGAGCCCUGAGUGAAGACUG
Molecule: RNA transcript, 2420 nt
Organism: Sander lucioperca (pikeperch)
Lineage: Eukaryota; Metazoa; Chordata; Actinopteri; Perciformes; Percidae
Gene name: protein ALP1-like
Exons: 6
Source: RefSeq, a predicted model, not a curated record